RNAcentral lists this ribosomal RNA (489 nucleotides) under uncultured fungus from ectomycorrhizal root. RNAcentral describes it as "eukaryotic LSU rRNA". The stretch from base 177 to 330 matches the Rfam family "5.8S ribosomal RNA". The record is from RNAcentral. Lineage: Eukaryota; Fungi.
UCAUUACCGAGUUCAUGCCCUUACGGGUAGAUCUCCCACCCUGUGUUAUUAUUACCUUUGUUGCUUUGGCGGGCCGUCAGAUUUCGGUCAGGCUACCGGCUCCGGCUGGUAAGCGCCCGCCAGAGGACCCCAAACUCCUGAAUAUUAGUGUCGUCUGAGUACUAUAUAAUAGUUAAAACUUUCAACAACGGAUCUCUUGGUUCUGGCAUCGAUGAAGAACGCAGCGAAAUGCGAUAAGUAAUGUGAAUUGCAGAAUUCAGUGAAUCAUCGAAUCUUUGAACGCACAUUGCGCCCCUUGGUAUUCCGAGGGGCAUGCCUGUUCGAGCGUCAUUACAACCCUCAAGCACUGCUUGGUAUUGGGCUCCGCUGCUUAUACAGCGGGCCUUAAAAUUAGUGGCGGUGUCAUUAGGCCCUGAGCGUAGUAAAUAUCCUCGCUAUAGGGACUUGGUGAUUACUGGCCAGCAACCCCCACUUUCUAAGUUUGACCUC